AUGUCAGAUGUAAGAUCAUUAUUACAGAUGGAACUAUAUACAUGUGAAGGCAAUAGAACAGCCUUGCUAUCAGACAAAAAGUCAUCAUUAGAAGAAACAGACACAGAAGGCAGUGCAACAAUCUUGCUAUCAGACAAAGUGUCAUCACUACAAGAAGCAGACACAGAACAAACAGAAGUAGUAGAGCAACUAACAGAGGAAGAAG
Molecule: long non-coding RNA, 205 nt
Filed under: Nicotiana benthamiana
Lineage: Eukaryota; Viridiplantae; Streptophyta; Magnoliopsida; Solanales; Solanaceae
Description: long non-coding RNA (NBEN_LNC000584)
Source: RNAcentral